RNAcentral lists this long non-coding RNA (448 nucleotides) under Sorghum bicolor (sorghum). RNAcentral describes it as "long non-coding RNA (SBIC_LNC006966)". The record is from RNAcentral. Lineage: Eukaryota; Viridiplantae; Streptophyta; Magnoliopsida; Poales; Poaceae.
AUGUGGUGUAUUGCAUUUAUUUAUUUUUGUGGGCCUUGUUUGAUGUUUGUGCGUAGAAGGUGUUGACACCAUGAACUUCUAGGACCAGGAGUUUGACACCACUGAUCCUAACCAGUUUGAAGGCAAGUAUCAUUGACCAUACUUGCUCCUAUAUUUAAUUUAUUUUUGAUUUAGUUUAGUUAGACCAUUAGUUGCAUGGAGAGUCUUAAUUCGAAUCCUAUGUUAUGGUUUACUAGUUAUUGUCACAUUAUCCUUGUAACCCAAUUGGAAUGGAUAGAUGUCAAGCUUAGCCUUGCUGUCAUGGUUGGGAUGGGAAAGUUAUAAUUUAAUACUGAUUAAUGUCUAUGGAAUAUGUGAUGGUAAUCUUUUUAGCAACAUGGUGACUAGGGAAUCUAAGCAGGAUGGAUGGAUUGGUAUGAUGGUUAUUUGGUUUUGGUAUAUCAUGGGG